GACAGAGGGGGGCAAGCGUUGCUCGGAAUUACUGGGCGUAAAGGGCGCGUAGGCGGGAUGGCAAGUCGGUCGUGAAAUCCCUCGGCUCAACUGAGGAUCGUCGAUCGAUACUGCCGUUCUUGAGGAUUGCAGAGGAGACUGGAAUUCCCGGUGUAGCGGUGAAAUGUGUAGAGAUCGGGAGGAACACCGGUGGCGAAGGCGGGUCUCUGGGCAAUUCCUGACGCUGAGGCGCGAAAGCGUGGGGAGCAAACGGG
Molecule: ribosomal RNA, 254 nt
Filed under: uncultured bacterium
Lineage: Bacteria
Description: partial 16S ribosomal RNA
Rfam family: Bacterial small subunit ribosomal RNA
Source: RNAcentral